CACUGUUCACGACGUACCUACGAUAGACAUUUAAACUGUGGGGUCACCAAAGGUUUCUUGACGCCUUUAAUUAUAAAAUAAUUCGAAAAAUUAAUCAGGAAUUACCUUUAUGUUUUGAUUUAUAUAAUUGAUAUAAAUCAAAACAUCGUGUUAUUUCUGAUUAAUUUUUUCGAAUUACUUUAUUAGGGUGUUGAGAACCUUUGGUGACCCCAUAGUUUAAGUGUCUUUAAAAAGUACAUAGUGAGCAGUGGUCGUUACAUACAAACGUUCACGUAAAUUGUCCCAGUCAAUGGAUGAAUUUAAUGUGUCAAUCAAUGGCCACAGCCACACUGUUUUGAAUUUC
RNAcentral lists this long non-coding RNA (343 nucleotides) under Mytilus galloprovincialis (Mediterranean mussel). The record is from RNAcentral. Lineage: Eukaryota; Metazoa; Mollusca; Bivalvia; Mytilida; Mytilidae.